RNAcentral lists this small nuclear RNA (164 nucleotides) under Salvator merianae (Argentine black and white tegu). RNAcentral's name for it is "U1 spliceosomal RNA (ENSSMRG00000014898.1)". It matches the Rfam family "U1 spliceosomal RNA". From Rfam's summary of the family: U1 is a small nuclear RNA (snRNA) component of the spliceosome (involved in pre-mRNA splicing). Its 5' end forms complementary base pairs with the 5' splice junction, thus defining the 5' donor site of an intron. Lineage: Eukaryota; Metazoa; Chordata; Lepidosauria; Squamata; Teiidae. The record is from Rfam by way of RNAcentral.
AUACUUACCUGGCAGGGAAGAUACCAUGAUCAGGAAAGUGGUUUUCCUAGGAUGAGGCUCAUCCAUUGCACUCUGGGUGUGCUGACCCCUGCGAUUUCUGCAAACACAGGAAACUCAACUGCAUAAUUUGUGGCAGUGGGGGACAGCGUUCGCACUUGCCCCUG